UUAGCGGCGGACGGGUGAGUAACACGUGGGUAACCUGCCUGUAAGACUGGGAUAACUCCGGGAAACCGGGGCUAAUACCGGAUGCUUGUUUGAACCGCAUGGUUCAAACAUAAAAGGUGGCUUCGGCUACCACUUACAGAUGGACCCGCGGCGCAUUAGCUAGUUGGUGAGGUAAUGGCUCACCAAGGCAACGAUGCGUAGCCGACCUGAGAGGGUGAUCGGCCACACUGGGACUGAGACACGGCCCAGACUCCUACGGGAGGCAGCAGUAGGGAAUCUUCCGCAAUGGACGAAAGUCUGACGGAGCAACGCCGCGUGAGUGAUGAAGGUUUUCGGAUCGUAAAGCUCUGUUGUUAGGGAAGAACAAGUGCCGUUCAAAUAGGGCGGCACCUUGACGGUACCUAACCAGAAAGCCACGGCUAACUACGUGCCAGCAGCCGCGGUAAUACGUAGGUGGCAAGCGUUGUCCGGAAUUAUUGGGCGUAAAGGGCUCGCAGGCGGUUUCUUAAGUCUGAUGUGAAAGCCCCCGGCUCAACCGGGGAGGGUCAUUGGAAACUGGGGAACUUGAGUGCAGAAGAGGAGAGUGGAAUUCCACGUGUAGCGGUGAAAUGCGUAGAGAUGUGGAGGAACACCAGUGGCGAAGGCGACUCUCUGGUCUGUAACUGACGCUGAGGAGCGAAAGCGUGGGGG
Molecule: ribosomal RNA, 690 nt
Filed under: Bacillus vallismortis
Lineage: Bacteria; Bacillati; Bacillota; Bacilli; Caryophanales; Bacillaceae
Description: bacterial SSU rRNA
Rfam family: Bacterial small subunit ribosomal RNA
Source: RNAcentral